CCUACGGGAGGCAGCAGUGAGGAAUAUUGGUCAAUGGGCGCGAGCCUGAACCAGCCAAGUAGCGUGAAGGAUGACUGCCCUCCGGGUUUUAACCUUCUUUUAUAAAGGAGUAAAGUGAGGCAUGUGUGCUUUUUUGUAUGUACCUUAUGAAUAACGAUCGGCUAACUCCGUGCCAGCAGCCGCAGUAAUACGGAGGGUUCGAGCGUUUUCCGGAUUUAUUGGGGUUAAAGGGAGCGAAGAAGGGUAGUUAAGUCAGUUGUGAAAGUUUGCGGCUCAACCGGAAAAUUGCAAUUGAUACUGGCAGUCUUGAGUACAGGAGAGGUAGGCGGAAUUCGUGGUGUAGCGGUGAAAUGCUUAGAUAUCACGAAGAACUCCGAUUGCGAAGGCAGCUUACUAGACUGCCACUGACAUUGAUGCGCGAAAGUGUGGGUAUCAAACAGGAUUAGAUACCCCUGUAGUC
Molecule: ribosomal RNA, 460 nt
Filed under: uncultured bacterium
Lineage: Bacteria
Description: partial 16S ribosomal RNA
Rfam family: Bacterial small subunit ribosomal RNA
Source: RNAcentral